GUGAGGAAUAUUGCGCAAUGGAGGCAACUCUGACGCAGCCAUGCCGCGUGCAGGAAGAAGGCGCUACGCGUUGUAAACUGCUUUUAACCGGGAAGAAACCCCAGGACGUGUCCUGGGUUGACGGUACCGGAGGAAUAAGCACCGGCUAAAUUAGUGCCAGCAGCAGCGGUAAUACGAAGGGUGCAAGCGUUAUCCGGAUUCAUCGGGUUUAAAGGGUGCGUAGGCGGAGCGUUAAGUCAGUGGUGAAAUCCUGCAGCGUAACUGUAGACUUGCCAUUGAUACUAGCGCUCUUGAGUGCACUUGAAGUGGGCGGAAUGUGCCGUGUAGCGGUGAAAUGCUUAGAUAUGGCACAGAACACCAAUUGCGAAGGCAGCUCACUAAGGCGAUACUGACGCUGAGGCACGAAAGCGUGGGGAUCGAACAGGAUUAGAAACCCGUGUAGUCC
This 445-nucleotide ribosomal RNA is filed under the name uncultured bacterium. RNAcentral's name for it is "partial 16S ribosomal RNA". It matches the Rfam family "Bacterial small subunit ribosomal RNA", at positions 354 to 796 of the family's 1533-position model. The record is from RNAcentral.